GAUGAACGCUAGCUACAGGCUUAACACAUGCAAGUCGAGGGACCGGCGCACGGGUGAGUAGCACGUAUCCAACCUGCCCUUUACGCGGGGAUAGCCUUACGAAAGAAAGAUUAAUACCCGAUAGAAUGGAUGGGUAUGGGUUCCGUUAGGUUGUUGGUGAGGUAACGGCUCACCAAGCCUUCGAUGGAUAGGGGUUCGGAGAGGAAGGUCCCCUGCAUUGGAACUAGGGCGCGGUCCAAACUCCUAGGGGGGGCAGGAGUGUGGAAUAUUGGUCAAUGGGCGCUAGCCUGAACCAGCCAAGUAGCGUGAAGGAUGAAGGCUUAUGGGUCGUCAACUUCUUUUGUAUAAGAAUAUGUAUUAUAUGAAUAAGGAUCGGCUAACUCCGUGCCAGCAGCCGCGGUAAUUC
RNAcentral lists this ribosomal RNA (406 nucleotides) under uncultured bacterium. RNAcentral describes it as "partial 16S ribosomal RNA". It matches the Rfam family "Bacterial small subunit ribosomal RNA", at positions 28 to 526 of the family's 1533-position model. The record is from RNAcentral.